This 372-nucleotide ribosomal RNA is filed under the name uncultured bacterium. RNAcentral's name for it is "bacterial SSU rRNA". It matches the Rfam family "Bacterial small subunit ribosomal RNA", at positions 527 to 898 of the family's 1533-position model. The record is from RNAcentral.
GAACCGUCCUAACGUUGUUCGGAUUCACUGGGCUUAAAGGGCGCGUAGGCGGGUGAGCAAGUCCGGGGUGAAAUCUUUCGGCUUAACCGGAAAACGGCCUUGGAGACUGCUCGUCUGGAGGGAGGUAGGGGUCUGUGGAACUUCCGGUGGAGCGGUGAAAUGCGUUGAUAUCGGAAGGAACGCCGGUGGCGAAAGCGACGGACUGGACCUCUUCUGACGCUGAGGCGCGAAAGCCAGGGGAGCAAACGGGAUUAGAUACCCCGGUAGUCCUGGCCCUAAACGAUGGGUACUAGGUAGUGGACUUAACAUGGGUUCCCUGCCGAAGCAAAAGUGAUAAGUACCCCGCCUGGGGAGUAUGGUCGCAAGGCUGAA